This 742-nucleotide unclassified non-coding RNA is filed under the name Alytes obstetricans boscai. RNAcentral describes it as "partial contains 12S ribosomal RNA, tRNA-Val and 16S ribosomal RNA". The stretch from base 1 to 505 matches the Rfam family "Bacterial small subunit ribosomal RNA", at positions 794 to 1533 of the family's 1533-position model. Lineage: Eukaryota; Metazoa; Chordata; Amphibia; Anura; Alytidae. The record is from RNAcentral.
GCCUAGCCUUAAACAUUGACAACUUACAUUAUUUCAUCCGCCCGGGAACUACGAGCCGCAGCUUAAAACCCAAAGGACUUGGCGGUGCCCCAAACCCACCUAGAGGAGCCUGUUCUAUAAUCGAUACCCCCCGCUUAACCUCACCACCCCUCGCCAGCAGCCUAUAUACCACCGUCGCCAGCCCACCUCAUGAGAGAAAACAAGUAGGCAUAAUGGUAACCACCAAAACGUCAGGUCAAGGUGUAGCCUAUGGGGCGGAAAGCAAUGGGCUACACUUUCUACACAGAAAACUACGGAAGACUAUUAUGAAAUCUAGUCUGAAGGCGGAUUUAGUAGUAAAAAGAUUCAAGAGUGUUCUUUUUAAUCUGGCCCUGGGGCGCGCACACACCGCCCGUCACCCUCCUCAACUAACUCAACCCCCUAAUUAAAAACUAACCAGUUAACAAGAAGAGGCAAGUCGUAACAUGGUAAGUAUACCGGAAGGUGUGCUUGGAACAACAAAAUGUAGCUUAAUUAAAGCCUCUCGCUUACACCGAGAUAAUGUCCGUUAAACUCAGAUCAUUUUGAGCUGUAAACCUAGCCCUCAAAAAACAAUAACCCUCAAAUCCCAACUAAAUCAUUUACACUCUUUAGUAUAGGUGAUAAAAAAAGAAAUAAGCGCAACAGACAGAGUACCGUAAGGGAAAGAUGAAAUAGUUAUGAAAUAAUCACCAAAGCACUAAAAAGCAGAGAUACAUCCUCG